GCAAGUCUUUAAUCAGGUCCUGAGUGUGGAAGUACAUUCAGAAUAACAUUUAGCAAUCGCUAUAUUCCAAAGUGUUUUCCAAGGGAGCAAGAGAAAUAUUAACACACACAAUCACAAUUGGAGUCAAGAUGGUGCUUAGGUUUACAAUCUGCUGUGGAAAAAUUAAAUAAAAACUUAAAUAAAGGAAUGCUAUAAAUCCCUUUGAUAUAAUACCCUUCCGUCUUACUAGCAACAGAAGCACCUGUCGUCUGUGU
Gadus macrocephalus (Pacific cod) is the source of this 254-nucleotide long non-coding RNA. RefSeq lists it as uncharacterized. Lineage: Eukaryota; Metazoa; Chordata; Actinopteri; Gadiformes; Gadidae. The transcript has 2 exons. The record is from RefSeq and is a predicted model, not a curated record.